Molecule: non-coding RNA, 148 nt
Organism: Caenorhabditis elegans
Lineage: Eukaryota; Metazoa; Nematoda; Chromadorea; Rhabditida; Rhabditidae
Source: Ensembl
AUAGUGAAAAAAGAAGGAGAAUGAGAGAGAUAUGGAUAUAUCGAAAACUUUGUCCGUCGGCGGUCGUGACCAAGAUCUGAUUGAUGAUGGAUGCGUUAGGUUAUAAAGCGCGAAAGCACGCCGCCGUGAUAAUACAGACACGGAAAAA